Molecule: ribosomal RNA, 578 nt
Filed under: uncultured bacterium
Lineage: Bacteria
Description: bacterial SSU rRNA
Rfam family: Bacterial small subunit ribosomal RNA
Source: RNAcentral
AGAGUUUGAUCCUGGUUCUAAGUGUACGCUGGCGGCGUGCUUAACACAUGCAAGUCGAACGAGAACGGAACUAGCUUGCUAGUUUGUCAGCUAAGUGGCGCACGGGUGAGUAAUAUAUAGUUAAUCUGCCCCAAAGAAGAGAAUAAUUGUUGGAAACGACUUGUAAUGCUCUAUAUGCCUUUAUUACAUAAGUAAGCAAGGGAAAUAUUUAUAGCUUUGGGAUGAGACUGUACGGUAUCAGUUUGUUGGUGAGGUAAUGGCUCACCAAGACUAUGACGCCUAACUGGUUUGAGAGGAUGAUCAGUCACACUGGAACUGAGACACGGUCCAGACUCCUACGGGAGGCAGCAGUGGGGAAUAUUGCACAAUGGACGAAAGUCUGAUGCAGCAACGCCGCGUGGAGGAUGACACAUUUCGGUGCGUAAACUCCUUUUAUAUGAGAAGAUAAUGACGGUAUCAUAUGAAUAAGCACCGGCUAACUUCGUGCCAGCAGCCGCGGUAAUACGAGGGGUGCAAGCGUUACUCGGAAUCACUGGGCGUAAAGAGCAUGUAGGCGGGUAGUUAAGUUGGAAGUGAAA